UGCCGUCAAGUUUUUACGGGCACACGGUGAAUGCCUUGGCGUCGAAAGCCGAUGAAGGACGUGGUAAGCUGCGAUAAGCUUCGGGUAGCCGCAAACAGGCUUUGAUCCGAAGAUCUCCGAAUGGGGAAACCCAAUAGAGUGACAAACUCUAUUAUCAUGAACUGAAUACAUAGGUUCAUGAGGACAACCCGGGGAAGUGAAACAUCUCAGUACCUGGAGGAAAAGAAAUCAACCGAGAUUCCCUUAGUAGCGGCGAGCGAAACGGGAAGAGCCUAAACCAGGUUCAUGUCAAGCCUGCUGGCGUUGUGAAUCUGGUGUUGUGGGAGCCUUCUGCUGAAGCAGCAGAUUCAGCAAGGAGUUACAAAGAUCUGUAGUAGAUGAACUUACCUGGAAAGGUAGGCCAAAGAAGGUGAAAGCCCUGUAAUCGAAACUACAGAUCCUCCUGAAGGAUUUCCCGAGUACCAUGAGGCACGUGAAACCUCGUGGGAAUCUGGGUGGACCAUCAUCCAAGGCUAAAUACUCUUCGACGACCGAUAGCGCAUAGUACCGUGAGGGAAAGGUGAAAAGAACCCCGGAAGGGGAGUGAAAUAGAACCUGAAACCGUGUGCUCACAAGCAGUCAUAGCUCUAAGAUUGGCUUCGGCCAAUCGGAGUGGUGGCGUACCUGUUGAAGAAUGGGCCGGCGAGUUACGUUCUGUGGCAAGGUUAAGAGGUGAUCCCUCGGAGCCGUAGCGAAAGCGAGUCUUAAUAGGGCGAUUAGUCAUUGGACGUAGACGCGAAACCGGGUGACCUAUCCAUGGCCAGGUUGAAGCGUGACUAACCUCACGCGGAGGACCGAACCAGUUAUCGUUGAAAAGAUAUUGGAUGAGCUGUGGAUAGAGGUGAAAUGCCAAUCGAACUCGGUGAUAGCUCGUUCUCCCCGAAAUUGCUUUAAGGCUAGCCUCAAGUUUAACCUUUCCGGGGGUAGAGCACUGUUCGAGCUAGGGGUCCUACCAGACUACCGAACUCUUACAAACUCCGAAUACCGGAAAGUCUUACUUGGGAGUGGGACGGUGGUGGAUAAGCUCCAUCGUCGAGAGGGAAACAGCCCAGACCAUCAGCUAAGGCCCCCAAAUGCAGACUAAGUGGGAAAGGAAGUGAAUCGGCUAAAACAGCCAGGAUGUUGGCUUAGAAGCAGCCAUCAUUAAAAGAGUGCGUAACAGCUCACUGGUCGAGUCGAUUUGCGCCUAAAACUUAACGGGGCUCAAGUCUGCUGCCGAAGCUAUGGAUUCAAUACAUAUAACUGUAUUGUCUGGUAGGGGAGCGUUCUUAAAGGGCUGAAGGAGGACUCGUGAGAGCCUCUGGACUUUUAAGAAGUGAGAAUGCCGGCAUAAGUAACGAUAAGGAGAGUGGAAAUCUCUCCCGCCGUAAGACCAAGGUUUCCUGGGGAAGGCUCGUCCGCCCAGGGUUAGUCGGGCCUAAGCUGAGGCCGAAAGGCGUAAGCGAUGGACAUCCGGUUAAUAUUCCGGAACCAUCUCAAGAGCGUUUGUACGAUGGGGUGACGCUGCAAGAAAGGUUAGCCAGCCAACGGUUGUGCUGGUACAAGCUGGUAGGCUAAGGGAUAGGCAAAUCCGUCCCUUAUAAAGGCCGAGAAGUGAUGUGGAGGGGACACGUUCCCCGAACUAAUUGGACGAGCAGCCAAGAAAAACCUCUAAGGAGUUCUUGAGGUGUCCGUACCGCAAACCGACACAGGUGGUCGAGGAGAAUAUCCUAAGGCGUGCAGGAGCACCCUCGUUAAGGAACUCGGCAAAAUAGCCCCGUAACUUCGGAAGAAGGGGUGCCCUUGUAAUGUGUAGUGACUUGCUCACGAAGCAUGAAGGGGUCGCAGUAAAGAGGCUCGGGCGACUGUUUACCAAAAACAUAGGUCUCUGCUAAGCCGUAAGGCGAGGUAUAGGGGCUGACACCUGCCCAGUGCCGGAAGGUCAAGGGGAAGAGUUAGCCGCAAGGCGAAGCUCUGAACUUAAGCCCCGGUGAACGGCGGCCGUAACUAUAACGGUCCUAAGGUAGCGAAAUUCCUUGUCGGGUAAGUUCCGACCCGCACGAAAGGUGUAACGAUCCGAGCGCUGUCUCAACGAGGGACCUGGUGAAUUUGGGAUAUCCGUGAAGACACGGAUUACUUGCAAAGGGACGGAAAGACCCCAUGAAGCUUUACUGUAGUCUGACAUUGCGUUUUGAUAAUUCAUGUACAGGAUAGGUGGGAGGCUGUGAAGGAAGGGCGCCAGCUCUUCUGGAGCCGUCCUUGGGAUACCACCCUUGAAUUAUUGGGACGCUAACUUGCAUCCGUUAUCCGGAGCAAGGACAGUGUUUGAUGGGCAGUUUGACUGGGGCGGUCGCCUCCCAAAAGGUAACGGAGGCGUCCAAAGGUCACCUCAGCGUGAUUGGAAACCACGCGUCGAGUGUAAAGGUAUAAGGUGGCUUGACUGUGAGAGAGACAUCUCGAGCAGGGACGAAAGUCGGGCUUAGUGAUCCGACGGUUCAGUAUGGAAUGGCCGUCGCUUAACGGAUAAAAGUUACUCUGGGGAUAACAGGCUUAUCUCCCCCAAGAGUCCACAUCGACGGGGAGGUUUGGCACCUCGAUGUCGGCUCAUCGCAUCCUGGGGCUGAAGUAGGUCCCAAGGGUUAGGCUGUUCGCCUAUUAAAGCGGUACGUGAGCUGGGUUCAGAACGUCGUGAGACAGUUUGGUCCCUAUCUUUUGCAAGCGCAAGAAACUUGAGGAGGUCUAUCCCUAGUACGAGAGGACCGGGAUGGCGGAGCCUCCAGUGCAUCGGCUGUGGUGCCAACUGCAAGGUCGAGUAGCUGUGCUCCGUGUGGAUAAGCGCUGAAAGCAUAUAAGCGCGAAGCCCUCUCCAAGAUUAGGUUUCUCAUCCAGCAAUGGAGUAAGACCCCUGGGAGACUACCAGGUUGAUAGGCCAGAGGUGUAAGCAUGGCAACAUGUUCAGCUGACUGGUACUAAUAGGUCGAGGACUUGACGG
Molecule: ribosomal RNA, 3010 nt
Filed under: Thermodesulfobium acidiphilum
Lineage: Bacteria; Pseudomonadati; Thermodesulfobiota; Thermodesulfobiia; Thermodesulfobiales; Thermodesulfobiaceae
Description: bacterial LSU rRNA
Rfam family: Bacterial large subunit ribosomal RNA
Source: RNAcentral